ACCAUUUAGUUGCCAUUUUACACAAGGUCUGGUUUAGGAGAAAUACGCAUAUUUAGCAUGUCUUAGCUGAAAUGGGAAGAUAGAGAAUAAUAUUGAACUAGAUUAUUCUUUUAAAAAAUAAACAUUUGUUAGUGGAUUAUCGUGUACAAAAACUUUUAUUGGACUCCAAAUACUAUUUUGAGGAUUCAUUUUGAAUUAUGUUCUGUUCAUAAUUUAUAGGUGAUUCUGGGUACAUGAGCCGGCCUUGGCUUAUUACCCCCUUGCGUAGCCCGACUGAUGUGUCUGAGGAGCGCUACAAUAGGGCUCAUAAGAGAACCAGGGCAGUGGUUGAACAAAUGUUCGGGCUCCUGAAGAUGAGGUUCAGGUGCCUUGACAGGUCGGGAGGAGCCCUCCAGUUCAACCCAAAGAAGGUGGCUAAGAUCGUUAUAGCCUGUAGUGUCCUGCAUAAUAUUGCACAGCGGGCUGGGAUGCUGCAGGGCGUCCAGGUGCACCGAAACCUCCUCAGAGAUGAGGAGGAUAAUCCUGUUCUAGAGGGGCCAUUCCGGGACAAGGGGCUCAAUGUCAGAGCAGACAUCAUCAACCGCCACUUUAGACGUUAAAUAAUAGAAGUUAGACUGGAGUAUUGUCAAUAGAUGUGAACUCUAGGGAAAUGACAAGUAGAAAAUUGUGCAAACAUGUUAUGAUUGUUCAUCAAAUGCUAUAAAUGUGUUUCAUUUAUUAAUAUAGGUGAUGCUCUGGUCAUUGGGUCCUGUAGCGAGUCUUUGACACCUGGUUUUUAAAGAGGACAUCAGCUGGGAGAUGACUUCAUGUAAAGACUGAAAGGGAAGAAUUCGAAGAAUGACAGUGAAGAAUUCCCAGACUGACAGUGGAAAAAGACAAGAUUGAAAUUGAAGAAUACCAAUGGGAUCAUGUCUGGCAUUAUCUUUCAAAUCUGCUGACCUUGAAAACCAUACAAAGACAUGUUCACAUGAUGGUAUUUCACAGUCCUCUAUUUUUGAACUGAUGAAUAAGACACAUAUUGAAGAUCAACUGUUUACCCCUGAAUUGACUUUCAAAGACCAUGCAUUAUCCAGAUGGUAUUUCACAGUCCUCUAUUUUUGAACUGAUGAAUAAGACACCUAUUGAAGAUCAACUGUUUACCCCUGAAUUGACUUUCAAAG
Bombina bombina (fire-bellied toad) is the source of this 1160-nucleotide long non-coding RNA. RefSeq lists it as uncharacterized. NCBI's taxonomy places the organism in Eukaryota, Metazoa, Chordata, Amphibia, Anura, Bombinatoridae. The record is from RefSeq and is a predicted model, not a curated record. The transcript has 4 exons.